GACGAACGCUGGCGGCGUGCUUAACACAUGCAAGUCGAGCGGUAAGGCUCCUUCGGGAGUACACGAGCGGCGAACGGGUGAGUAACACGUGAGCAAUCUGCCCAUCUCUUUGGAAUAAGCGUUGGAAACGACGUCUAAUGCCGAAUACGACCUCCUUUCGCAUGAUCGGAGGUGGAAAGCUCCGGCGGAGAUGGAUGAGCUCGCGGCCUAUCAGCUAGUUGGUGAGGUAACGGCCACCAAGGCGACGACGGGUAGCCGGCCUGAGAGGGUGACCGGCACACUGGGACUGAGACACGGCCCAGACUCCUACGGGAGGCAGCAGUGGGGAAUAUUGGACAAUGGGCGAAAGCCUGAUCCAGC
Molecule: ribosomal RNA, 360 nt
Filed under: uncultured bacterium
Lineage: Bacteria
Description: bacterial SSU rRNA
Rfam family: Bacterial small subunit ribosomal RNA
Source: RNAcentral